UUAGAGUUUGAUAGUGGCUCAGAUUGAACGCUGAGCGGCAGGCCUAACACAUGCAAGUCGAACGGUAACAGGAAACAGCUUGCUGUUUCGCUGACGAGUGGCGGACGGGUGAGUAAUGUCUGGGAAACUGCCUGAUGGAGGGGGAUAACUACUGGAAACGGUAGCUAAUACCGCAUAACGUCGCAAGACCAAAGAGGGGGACCUUCGGGCCUCUUGCCAUCGGAUGUGCCCAGAUGGGAUUAGCUAGUAGGUGGGGUAACGGCUCACCUAGGCGACGAUCCCUAGCUGGUCUGAGAGGAUGACCAGCCACACUGGAACUGAGACACGGUCCAGACUCCUACGGGAGGCAGCAGUGGGGAAUAUUGCACAAUGGGCGCAAGCCUGAUGCAGCCAUGCCGCGUGUAUGAAGAAGGCCUUCGGGUUGUAAAGUACUUUCAGCGGGGAGGAAGGGAGUAAAGUUAAUACCUUUGCUCAUUGACGUUACCCGCAGAAGAAGCACCGGCUAACUUCCGUUGUCCAAGCAAGCCGGCCGGUAAAUACGGAAGGGGUGCAAGCGUUAAUCCGGAAUUAACUGGGCGUAAAGCCGCAACGCAGGGCGGUUUGUUUAAGUCAGAUGUGAAAUCCCCGGGCUCAACCUGGGAACUGCAUCUGAUACUGGCAAGCUUGAGUCUCGUAGAGGGGGGGUAGAAUUCCAGGUGUAGCGGUGAAAUGCGUAGAGAUCUGGAGGAAUACCGGUGGCGAAGGCGGCCCCCUGGACGAAGACUGACGCUCAGGUGCGAAAGCGUGGGGAGCAAACAGGAUUAGAUACCCUGGUAGUCCACGCCGUAAACGAUGUCGACUUGGAGGUUGUGCCCUUGAGGCGUGGCUUCCGGAGCUAACGCGUUAAGUCGACCGCCUGGGGAGUACGGCCGCAAGGUUAAAACUCAAAUGAAUUGACGGGGGCCCGCACAAGCGGCGGAGCAUGUGGUUUAAUUCGAUGCAACGCGAAGAAUCCUUACCUGGUCUUGACAUCCACAGAACUUUCCAGAGAUGGAUUGGUGCCUUCGGGAACUGUGAGACAGGUGCUGCAUGGCUGUCGUCAGCUCGUGUUGUGAAAUGUUGGGUUAAGUCCCGCAACGAGCGCAACCCUUAUCCUUUGUUGCCAGCGGUCCGGCCGGGAACUCAAAGGAGACUGCCAGUGAUAAACUGGAGGAAGGUGGGGAUGACGUCAAGUCAUCAUGGCCCUUACGACCAGGGCUACACACGUGCUACAAUGGCGCAUACAAAGAGAAGCGACCUCGCGAGAGCAAGCGGACCUCAUAAAGUGCGUCGUAGUCCGGAUUGGAGUCUGCAACUCGACUCCAUGAAGUCGGAAUCGCUAGUAAUCGUGGAUCAGAAUGCCACGGUGAAUACGUUCCCGGGCCUUGUACACACCGCCCGUCACACCAUGGGAGUGGGUUGCAAAAGAAGUAGGUAGCUUAACCUUCGGGAGGGCGCUUACCACUUUGUGAUUCAUGACUGGGGUGAAGUCGUAACAAGGUAACCGUGGGAACCUGCGGUUGGAUCACCUCCUUU
Molecule: ribosomal RNA, 1554 nt
Filed under: uncultured Escherichia sp.
Lineage: Bacteria; Pseudomonadati; Pseudomonadota; Gammaproteobacteria; Enterobacterales; Enterobacteriaceae
Description: 16S ribosomal RNA
Rfam family: Bacterial small subunit ribosomal RNA
Source: RNAcentral